RNAcentral lists this ribosomal RNA (780 nucleotides) under uncultured bacterium. RNAcentral describes it as "bacterial SSU rRNA". It matches the Rfam family "Bacterial small subunit ribosomal RNA", at positions 61 to 846 of the family's 1533-position model. The record is from RNAcentral.
GUCGAGCGAUGAACAUUGAAUGAUCCCUUCGGGGUGAUUUCGAUCGGAUUACCGUCGAACGGGUGAGUAACGCGUGAGGAACCUGCCUCUUACAACGGGAUAGCCUCGGGAAACCGGGAUUAAUACCGUAUAAGACUCCGACAUCUCCUGAUGAUGAAGUCAAAGCGUUAGCGGUAAGAGAUGGCCUCGCGUCUGAUUAGCUAGUUGGCGGGGUAACGGCCCACCAAGGCGACGAUCAGUAACCGGCCUGAGAGGGUGAGCGGUCACAUUGGAACUGAGACACGGUCCAAACUCCUACGGGAGGCAGCAGUGGGGAAUCUUGCACAAUGGGGGAAACCCUGAUGCAGCGACGCCGCGUGAGCGAUGAAGGUUUUCGAAUCGUAAAGCUCUGUCCUAUGGGAAGAUAAUGACGGUACCAUGGGAGGAAGCCCCGGCUAACUACGUGCCAGCAGCCGCGGUAAUACGUAGGGGGCGAGCGUUGUCCGGAAUUACUGGGCGUAAAGGGUUCGCAGGCGGCAUGGCAAGUCCGAUGUAAAAGGCGAAGGCUCAACCUUCGUAAGCAUCGGAAACUGUCAAGCUUGAGUGAAGGAGAGGCAAGUGGAAUUCCUAGUGUAGCGGUGGAAUGCGUAGAUAUUAGGAGGAAUACCGGUGGCGAAGGCGACUUGCUGGACUUCAACUGACGCAGAGGAACGAAAGCGUGGGUAGCAAACAGGAUUAGAUACCCUGGUAGUCCACACAGUAAACGAUGAAUACUCGCUGUUUGCGAUAUACAGUAAGCGG